UAGGGAAUCUUCCACAAUGGACGCAAGUCUGAUGGAGCAACGCCGCGUGAGUGAAGAAGGUUUUCGGACCGUAAAGCUCUGUUGUUGGUGAAGAAGGAUAGAGGUAGUAACUGGCCUUUAUUUGACGGUAAUCAACCAGAAAGUCACGGCUAACUACGUGCCAGCAGCCGCGGUAAUACGUAGGUGGCAAAGCGUUGUCCGGAUUUAUUGGGCGUAAAGCGAGCGCAGGCGGAAGAAUAAGUCUGAUGUGAAAGCCCUCGGCUUAACCGAGGAAUUGCAUCG
RNAcentral lists this ribosomal RNA (282 nucleotides) under uncultured bacterium. RNAcentral's name for it is "partial 16S ribosomal RNA". It matches the Rfam family "Bacterial small subunit ribosomal RNA", at positions 355 to 628 of the family's 1533-position model. The record is from RNAcentral.